RNAcentral lists this ribosomal RNA (494 nucleotides) under uncultured bacterium. RNAcentral's name for it is "partial 16S ribosomal RNA". It matches the Rfam family "Bacterial small subunit ribosomal RNA", at positions 28 to 507 of the family's 1533-position model. The record is from RNAcentral.
GACGAACGCUGGCGGCGUGCUUAACACAUGCAAGUCGAACGGUGAAGCGCCUUCCUUUUUGGUGGGUGUGGAUGAGUGGCGAACGGGUGAGUAACACGUGAGUAACCUGCCCCCUUUUUCUGGAUAACCGCAUGAAAGUGUGGCUAAUACGGGAUAUUCUGGGUCUGUCGCAUGAUGGGUCUGGGAAAGAUAUUGUUUCGGUGGGGGAUGGGCUCGCGGCCUAUCAGCUUGUUGGUGGGGUGAUGGCCUACCAAGGCAGUGACGGGUAGCCGGCCUGAGAGGGUGGACGGUCACACUGGGACUGAGACACGGCCCAGACUCCUACGGGAGGCAGCAGUGGGGAAUAUUGCACAAUGGGCGCAAGCCUGAUGCAGCGACGCCGCGUGAGGGAUGGAGGCCUUCGGGUUGUGAACCUCUUUCGCCAGUGAAGCAGGCCUGCCUCGUUUGUGGGUGGGUUGACGGUAGCUGGAUAAGAAGCGCCGGCUAACUACGUG